CGCGGGGGGGAGCAAGCGUUGUUCGGAAUCACUGGGCGUAAAGGGCGCGUAGGCGGCUGUACAAGUCAAAGGUGAAAUCCCUCGGCUCAACUGAGGAACUGCCUUUGAAACUGUACGCUUGAGGCCGGGAGGGGGUAGCGGAAUUCCCAGUGUAGCGGUGAAAUGCGUAGAGAUGUGGAGGAACACCGAUGGCGAAGGCAGCCCCCUGGGUCAAGAUUGACGCUCAUGCACGAAAGCGUGGGGAGCAAACAGG
This 253-nucleotide ribosomal RNA is filed under the name uncultured bacterium. RNAcentral's name for it is "partial 16S ribosomal RNA". It matches the Rfam family "Bacterial small subunit ribosomal RNA", at positions 523 to 776 of the family's 1533-position model. The record is from RNAcentral.